Molecule: ribosomal RNA, 253 nt
Filed under: uncultured bacterium
Lineage: Bacteria
Description: partial 16S ribosomal RNA
Rfam family: Bacterial small subunit ribosomal RNA
Source: RNAcentral
UACGUAGGGGGCGAGCGUUGUCCGGAAUCAUUGGGCGUAAAGCGCGUGUAGGCGGCUCGGUAAGUCUGCUGUGAAAGUCCAGGGCUCAACCCUGGGAUGCCGGUGGAUACUGUCGAGCUCGAGUCCGGAAGAGGCGAGUGGAAUUCCUGGUGUAGCGGUGAAAUGCGCAGAUAUCAGGAGGAACACCAAUGGCGAAGGCAGCUCGCUGGGACGGUACUGACGCUGAGACGCGAAAGCGUGGGGAGCGAACAGG